GUCAAGAGUGUAUUGACGUUCAUAGAUUAUAAAAUUAUUAUGGAUCGCCCAAAGGUUGGUUGGUCAAUUUUAUUAAUCUUGAACAUGAUCGUGGUUAAUUGAUAUACUUAAUUUGAUGUGUUUUGUAUAUCCAAAGAUGACAAACAUGUUUGAUUGGAGUAUGAUUAAUUACCAAUUAAGUGAAAUUUAAUUAGCAUCACUAUGUUUGUUAUGAUGGUAUAACGUAGUAUCACCCAAAGGAGAACUACGGUAUACAUUUAUUGUUGUCCGAAUUUGAACUAAGUGUUUAAGUCAAAACUCAAAGCAUUAAUGUUAGAGCAUUUUAUAUUUUGCAGUAUCUAUUCCCGUUUCUCUGCAUUCGCAUGCUUCAUCUGUACCACUGUUCAAUGGGCUCAAUUUCUCUGACUGGUGUGAACAAGUCCAGUUCAACUUAGGUGUUUUGGAUUUGGACUUGGCACUUCAAGUUGAGAAACCUGCUGAUCUCACUGAUGAGAGCAGUGCUGAUGAAAAAUCUUUCCAUAAGGCUUGGGAAAGGUCUAACAGAUUAAGCCUAAUGUUUAUGCGAAUGACCUUGGCAAAGAAUAUCAAGUCUACUAUCCCUAAAACUGAGAGCGCCAAGGAAUAUAUGAAGUUUGUGGAAGAACGUUCCCAAAUAGUUGACAAAUCGCUUGCUGGCACACUGAUGGGUACAUUAACCACCAUGAAAUUUGAUGGUUCUCUUACCAUGCAUGAGCACGUUACUGAAAUGAGUAACAUUGCAGCAAGACUUAAGACUCUUGGGAUGACUGUGGAUGAGAA
This 798-nucleotide long non-coding RNA is filed under the name Olea europaea subsp. europaea. The record is from RNAcentral. Lineage: Eukaryota; Viridiplantae; Streptophyta; Magnoliopsida; Lamiales; Oleaceae.